Myodes glareolus (Bank vole) is the source of this 1366-nucleotide non-coding RNA. The record is from RefSeq and is a predicted model, not a curated record. NCBI's taxonomy places the organism in Eukaryota, Metazoa, Chordata, Mammalia, Rodentia, Cricetidae.
CCUGCCCAGACCACAGAGAAGCAAGAUGUAACUUGCCCUGCUGAAAAAGGAAGAGGAAAGAACUGCUGGAAGCUGUCCAUGUUCACAGUGCAAGCCCUGGCUCCAUCACAGUCAGCGGAGCCCAUUCCUUGGGUGCCUGCUGGAGCUAAGUGCUUUCCAUCCUGAAGCUGUAAAAACCUCUUCCGGCUGUGCCAAGUCCACUGUCACUGGAGAGAUCUACCUGGAUGAAGGAUGGGAGGCAUCAGGUCUCUUGGAACUGGAGUUAGAGAUGGUGAUGAGCCAGCAUGUGAGUCCUGGAAAUCAAAGCCCUGUCCUCUGAAGAGCAGCCAGUACUUCCAACCCCUGAGCCAUCGUUUCUCCAGCCCCAGGACAUAGUAAGUUUUACAUACACAACAUUUCCCUGAAAAGAAACGGUACCUGGUUCCAGUCCAUCUUUCUCCAUACCCACCUGCCAGUCAUAGAAAUGCCUUCAUUUUUUAUAGGAAGGCUGCCUCUCUGUGUCUGGCUACUUCAAUAAACAGAACGUUUCUGAGUUCAUGUUGAGAAUGUGCCCCCAGCGCACCGUCAUGCAGAAUUGGUGUUUCCCACCCCACCCUCAGUCAGCUGCAUCCUUUCUUUUUAACUAUGAUUUUUGGCUACUUGGCUGCAGUCAAGACUCAUAUGAACGCUUUCAUGGGAACUCUGUGAGAGUUCCUGACUGCGUACCUAGAGACUGGAUUCCUGGUAACUGUUUAGCUCUCUGCCUUGUCUUUGCUCCAGGAGUGUAGGAAGGCUCCGAUCUCCACAGGUUCCCUACCAAUGUUACGGUUCUUUCUUUCCUCGUAGCCAUUCUAACAAGUGUGGGUUCUCUCCGUGUUUUUGACUGUACUUCAUGAGAAGUUAUUGUAAAAAAAUGGUACCUUCAGAGUGACAAUCACCGCAACUGCUUUGUAGAAUAUCUGUUCUUUUUUUAAUUGUAAAAUGUUGCUUUGUGGUGUUUUCACCGUUGUUAGCGUUUCUCAUAGUUUAAGAUGUUGGCUCCUCUGAGCUACUACUUCCUUCCACUUUGUGGGCUGGAGUUUUUGACACACAAAUGCUGUCAGUACUGUCACAUUUCCCAGGGCUAUCACAUUGCCAUGAUGGACUGUACGCCCUCUGCAAGAUGAAGGAAACCCUCCCUUAACUGUGUGUGCACAUGCAUGUGUGUGCAUGUGUAUUGUGUUGCACAUGUGCCUAUGUGUGUGUGCAAGUGCAAGUGUGUGUGAAUAAAUAUGAAGUCAUCUAGACACUGACCACCAAUGCAAGGCUCUCCCAUUCCCCACCCAGCUCUGUGCUGCUCAUCUGGGCACCAGUGCGAGGCUCUCCCAACCCCAGCUCUGUGCUGCUC